Molecule: long non-coding RNA, 339 nt
Organism: Ipomoea nil (Japanese morning glory)
Lineage: Eukaryota; Viridiplantae; Streptophyta; Magnoliopsida; Solanales; Convolvulaceae
Exons: 3
Source: RefSeq, a predicted model, not a curated record
CGCGGCUGAUACAUAACCCGGAACUAUGGUCGACAGAACACCAAGAGGAAGCCAGCGACGUGCAUCCAUUGAAGCGACGAGUAGACUCCGAUGGAGGAAAUGCUGCAGAAGAGGAACCUAGGAAAGGCAACCAAGAAGAUGAAGAAGAGGAUCCGGUUAAGGAACGAGGAGGUGGGUGCAAUAGAAGUGAGUUAAGCGGUUUGAAACGACUUGUGACAUUAGUUUUUGAUGACUUCAAGAGGCACGAAGAACGCAAAGUAACAUACUACUAGACAAUUUAAAUUUGCUAGUAACUAUUUUCUGUUAAAGUUUUGUGAAAUGCCUAAUCACGGUUUAGAA